RNAcentral lists this long non-coding RNA (522 nucleotides) under Danio rerio (zebrafish). RNAcentral describes it as "lncRNA sox2ot (ENSDARG00000095844.3)". Lineage: Eukaryota; Metazoa; Chordata; Actinopteri; Cypriniformes; Danionidae. The record is from RNAcentral.
AUUGUUGGUGGAGCUCACAGUGUUAUUGUAUUAAAAAGAGCCAUCUGUGCCAGAAACAAUGGCUUCAAAUUAUCUCUGAAUACCCGGUGAAAAAAUAUAAAGCUUUCUCCUUCUCAUUAUGUUUGGUGGGGGUUUUUGUAGACUUGCUAUAAGUGACUUUUGUUGUUCUUGAUGCAUUCUUCUUCUUUUUCAAUCGGCCCCUUUUCAGAUGGCGUGGAGCUGCAGAGGGGCUGAGGCGGGUGAGAGCAGCCGCGCUGAGAGCACUCUGAGCGGGCACACGGAGCGACUGGACGCUAUGGAUCAUGAGAGCGGCUGCCGGAAAACUGCGCGGCCGGAAAAAGCGACUCCUCGCUGGGCGCGCAUGGGAGGAUCCGGCCGGCAGGCGCGGGGAACUUUUGGAUGUGUCAGUCAAAGUGAGUUGGAAACGAGGAGCGACACCACAGCGUUUAUGUUUUGCCUGUAAAUCUCUGCUCUGCUUGGGGACAUAAAACGGCCCAAAUGCAAUGAAGAACGCACGUCAAG